RNAcentral lists this long non-coding RNA (724 nucleotides) under Olea europaea subsp. europaea. Lineage: Eukaryota; Viridiplantae; Streptophyta; Magnoliopsida; Lamiales; Oleaceae. The record is from RNAcentral.
UUUUUGUCAAAAAAGUGAUACAUCAUCCCACAAAAAGAGAAAGAAGGUUCCCUCUACUUCAAGGGGAAUUGAAGAAGGCAAGAAGCGAAGUUUUAAUGUCGUUAAAAAGAGACUAAGUUGUUAUCAGGGGCGGAGCAAGCAUCCGGCGAGGAGGCACGAUCGCGUGUGCUCGCUCCGUCGAAAUAUUCAGAACCCUCAUGAAGCAAUCAGCAGUAGGUUGCAGUUGCAGACUUGCAGAGCUGGCUCGAGAUGGAACUUGGAAGACGAAGAUGAAAGAGACGACCUAUUAUUUUUUGUUUGGACGGAAGUGAGUAAUUAAGUUAAUAAGAUGUUGGGCCUCUUUUUGUUUAGCCCAAUAAAUUCCCAAAUGAACGAAAUAACAAAUGGUCCAAUUUCCUAAUGAUCAUAUCUAUUCCAUUUUCAAAUCAAUUCCAAGAAUCCAAUUGCCCAAAUUGUGAAGGGUGAAAGCCAAACGCUUUUCCUCUCCUCCACUCUCUUGUCCAGACGGCACACACUCCAUUCUAUAAUUCCAUUCAAAAUCGAAGAAGAAGCAGCACCGACUCCACGAGGAGGAGGAGUUGUUGGAGCCCAAAGCCGCCAACGAUAUGUUCUGCUGCCGUCUGUCGUUUCUGCCUUCUGGUCUCGAGCUGGUGAUUGGUGACUCUUUCUCUCUCUCGGUUUUUUUUUUGUUCUAUUUUGUAUUCGCCCUUGCUUGUUGAUGUUG